RNAcentral lists this ribosomal RNA (467 nucleotides) under uncultured bacterium. RNAcentral describes it as "partial 16S ribosomal RNA". It matches the Rfam family "Bacterial small subunit ribosomal RNA", at positions 28 to 507 of the family's 1533-position model. The record is from RNAcentral.
GACGAACGCUGGCGGCGUGCUUAACACAUGCAAGUCGAACGGAAAGGCCCUGCUUUUGUGGGGUGCUCGAGUGGCGAACGGGUGAGUAACACGUGAGUAACCUGCCCUUGACUUUGGGAUAACUUCAGGAAACUGGGGCUAAUACCGGAUAGGAGCUCCUGCUGCAUGGUGGGGGUUGGAAAGUUUCGGCGGUUGGGGAUGGUCUCGCGGCUUAUCAGCUUGUUGGUGGGGUAGUGGCUUACCCAGGCUUUGAGGGGUAGCCGGACUGGGAGGGUGACCGGCCACAUGGGCCCUGGGAAAGGGCCAAAACGCAAUCGGGGGGAAGGGGGGGAAACCUUGCAGAACGGGGCGGCGGCAGUUGGGAGAAACGCCGGGGGGGAGAACACGGCUUUGGGGGAAGAACACAUUUUCACGUGUGCAGAAGCGUCGUGACGGUAACUGGGCAAAAAGCCACGGCUAACUACGUG